UGACAAAACCUCUGGGCAUGCUAGAACUAGAAGGGAACUUCCUUAACAAUACAGAGCAUGAAAAACCUACAGUUAGCCAGUUAGCAUCAUGCACAAUGGUUUGUUCUCCAUCUAAGAUUUGCUUGCUUGCUCAGUCGCUUAGUCAUGUCUGACUCUUUGCAACCCCAUGGUCUGUCCAUGGAAUUCUCCAGGCAAGAACACUGGAGUGCAUUGCCAUUCCCUUCUCCAGGGGAGCUUUCCGACCCAGGGAUCAAAGCCGGAUCUCCUGCAUUGCAGGCAGAUUCUUUACAUCUGAGCCACCAGGGAAGCCCAAACAUCAAGUAUUCCAGGCCAGAAUACUGGAGUGGGUAGCCUUUCCCUUCUGCAGGAGAUCUUCCCAACCCAGGGAUUGAACCCAGGUUUCCCACACUGCAGACGGAUUCUUUACCAGCUGAGCCACCAGGGAAACCCAAGAAUACUCGAGUGGGUAGUUUAUCCCUUCUCCAGUGGAUCUUCCUGACCCAGGAAUCGAACUGGGAUCUCCUGCAUUGCAGGUGGGUUCUUUACCAGCUGAGUUACCUGGGAAAUCUAAGAUUUGGGGAAAGGCAAAAGAAUUCUGGGCUUCCCCAGUAGCUCAGCAGUAAAGAAUUUGCAGGCAAUGCAAGAUACUUGGCUUUGACCCCUGCAUCAGAAAGAUCCCCUAGAGGAGGAAAUGGCAACCCACUCCAGUAUUCUUGCCUGAAAAAUCUCACGGACCGAGGAGCCUGGCAGGCUACAGGGCAUGGGGUCGUAGAGAGUCAGGCAAGACUUAGUGACUAAACAACAACGAAAGAAAUACUUGCUCUCACCAUUUCUAGUCAACACUAUACUUAAGACCCUACCUGGAUAUAAGGCAAGAAAGAGAAGAAGCAUAUGUAUUGUAGGAAAUGAAACUGCAGAAGACAUCAAAUGUAAUGAAAAUCCUAAAUAGAUUUAAAAAAAAAAAACAAAAACUAGAAUUAGUUUAGUGAGGUAAGAUACAAGAUCAGUAUACAAAACUCAGUUGCAUGCUAGCAACAAAUAAUUGGAUAUUGAAAUUAAAAGCAUGAAGUAAUUAGGGAAACAGCAAAAUUUGUGUAAGACUAAAAAAGUAGAAAGAUAUAUAUCAUUAUUGUGAAUUGGAAGACAAUUUUGUAAAUGUUAAUUGUCUCUAAUGCAUAAUCAACUCAAAAUUCUGAUGGUUUUCUUUGUAAACAUCAUAAAAUAUAUAUGUAAAUAAUAUGUAAAUACAAAUGACCCAGAAUAUCCAAAAUGAUUUGAAAAAAAAAUUAGAGAACUUGAUCUAUCUAUAGAAAGGUUUGCUAUUGUUAUACUGCAAGAUACAAUGAGAUCAGGAUAGAUACGGAUUAGUGAACCAGAAAUAGACUUCCACAUACAUGGCUAAUUGAGUUUUGAUAAAGGUAACAAGGUUCCUGAACAGGGAAGAGAUAGCCUUCUCAAUAAAUGUUAUGACAACUAUAUAUUUAUGGAGAAAAGUGAACCUGUAUCCUUACUUCAUGUCACAUAAAAAUUGGAUGGCUCAAGAUGGAUCAACCUAAACAUAAAAAGUCUCAAACUUCUUGAAACUGAUACAAUGUUGUCAAUUGGCUGUACC
This is a long non-coding RNA of Bos taurus (domestic cattle), 1612 nucleotides long. The record is from Ensembl. Lineage: Eukaryota; Metazoa; Chordata; Mammalia; Artiodactyla; Bovidae.